Molecule: ribosomal RNA, 406 nt
Filed under: uncultured bacterium
Lineage: Bacteria
Description: partial 16S ribosomal RNA
Rfam family: Bacterial small subunit ribosomal RNA
Source: RNAcentral
AUUGAACGCUGGCGGCAGGCCUAACACAUGCAAGUCGAACGAGUGGCGGACGGGUGAGUAAUGUAUGGGAAACUGCCUGAUGGAGGGGGAUAACUACUGGAAACGGUAGCUAAUACCGCAUACCAUCGGAUGUGCCCAGGUGGGAUUAGCUAGUAGGUGGGGUAAAGGCUCACCUAGGCGACGCUCCCUAGCUGGUCUGAGAGGAUGACCAGCCACACUGUGACUGAGACACGGUCCAGACGCCUACGGGAGGCAGCAGUGGGGAAUAUUGCACAAUGGGCGCAAGCCUGAGGCAGCCAUGCCGCGUGUAUGAAGAAGGCCUUCGGGUUGUAAAGUACUUUCAUCGGGGAUGCGUUACCCACAGAAGAAGCACCGGCUAACUCCGUGCCAGCAGCCGCGGUAAUAC